CUUAUCAUUAGCCACUCAAUUAAUUGAAAACAGAGCCAAUUCAGACCUCAAUAGGCCAAAUAAAAAUAUAUUCAGACACAUGAAACAACCAAGUAUAACAAAAAGUUGGAAAAAGUAGCUUUUUAUUUGCAAAAUGAUGGCAUAUUUACCAUCCCAUACAAAUCCAUAUUCAAACAAUUUUAUAAUAAACAAUAAUGUAACAUUUCUUUCAUCAAACGAUGAGGACACAGAUUGUCAGGAGAAAAUUGUUGUCUUCUAGACGGAAAUAUUUAUCGGUUCUCGGAGUAUCCUUUCCAUCUGUUGUGCCCUAGUCCUUAUAGACAUGUCAAAGACUUUUUGGCUGAAUUCCAGCACUAUACCACCAAGUAUGCUUGGAUCAAUCUAAAAUACAAAACCAAAGUGUAAAGCUUUAACUUAGAAGAGGCACGUGAAUAUACGGCAUAUAAUGUGAUAAUGGGAUAAGAGGAGCUAAUCUUGAUUAGAUUUGAGUUUAAAAAAAUAAAAAAUUGACUAUUUAUGAUGAGAGUUAGGCAUGUAUGAAUAUAUUUUUUAAUAUACCUUCUGUUCAAGCUUAACUUUUGCCCCAGAACCUAACAUUUCCUGAACAGUUUGCUUCAAUGCGUUCUCUUCCUCAGCGGGAAGUGGCUGGAAUGAAAAAGAAUAUGGGAAGUUACGUAAUGUAGAAAUUACUAUUUAAUGAAAAGACAAUGCUUAAAUAAAUAACGAAAGCAUUGAAAUGAAUGUGAGCUUUUAGACAUCGUACAAUAAAAAACAUGCAGCAAACAAGUUUUACAGCAAUAACACACACACAUCAUAUAUAUAGUGAUAGAGCAUAUCUUAAGAGUAAGAGGAGUAAAUCUUGGCAUGUAGCAAUACAUGGAUGGUAGUUUAGGAAACUGAAGGAUGUGAUAAAUAAUGAGAAUAGGGGAGAGGAUAAACCAGGUAUGGUAUAGUAGAAAAGAGAUGCAGUUGAAUUUAAUUUCUAUUGAUUAUUUUGAAUGAAUAAUUGAUUGAGACAAGGACAUAUUGAAAUAUUUGACAAAUUAUAUAUAUGAAAUAGUGACUCUCCAAGUCUUUAUUAAUAAUAAAAGAAUUGAAGAUAAGUAUUAUGUCAACCAAAGUGAUUCACAUCAUAAUAUCAAAUGUAAUCAUCCUUUUACAAAAAAUUAAUUUUUUAAACAAAUUUCUGCAUUUAAUAGAGUAUAAUAUGUGAUAAGAUGCACUAAUUUCAUAAAUAAGCUAGCCAUCAAAGAAGUACAACUUACAAAAACAGUGGUCACAAUUGCUUUCACUUCUCCCUUGUAUGCCAUUGCCAACUCCGCAAACCUCUUUGCAAUGAGCUCUACGUGUUUAAGCCUCCCAUUCACAGCAAGGAGAGCUUUAAAACAAGUGAACUAAUCAGCACAUUGAUGUUAUAGGUUUUAAAUAAAGAGGGGGAAAAGAAAAAAAAGAAUAAAGACACUGGGUUAAUACAAUACUAUAGUUUCAUGUAUGUAAAUGGAUAAAUAUUCCAAAAAAAAAAAUACUAAACACUAACCCCAGUUUAUGCUAAUACAAAACAAAAAAGUCCUCAUUAAAAAACAAACCAUAAUAACAACAGAAAUAUGGAAACAAGUCUUAAGAGAUAGUCCAAGAUAGUCUAAGAUAAGAACUAAUCAUAUGAGAUAGUUUAAGGUACUCUAAGAUAUAUCAACAUAUUUUAAUAUCUUCUACCGCAUUACCUUAAACUAAAGCUGACUAAGCUCUUAGCGAGCACCCUUUGAAAGAGAAAAGUAAGCAAAUAAUAUAGUUUGAUGCUUAAGAUUGUCAGGGCCAGGUACAUCUGGAACAACAGUCAAGACCAAAUUGAAACUACAAAAAAAGCUGGCCAGACAAGAUUUGUGAAAAAGAAAAGUGCCAAACUGCAAUUGAAACGAAACCAGUGAAAAAACUGCAACAGAGACAAUGGUGCCAAACAGCAACCACGACAAAGCCGCAGCCAAGCCACAACGAAGACAAAACCCGUGUCAAACCCCAAAUGAGACAAUACCAGUAUCAAACAGCAACUGAAACAAAACUUGUGCAAAACCACAAGUGAAACAAAACCAAUGACAAACCGAGUCUUAGAUAUUCUGAACAACCAAAAAGAAAAUACAAUGGAGGGAGUUUCAACACACCAGAAAGAUGACAAGUGAGGAAAAAAUAUGAACAAAACAGAAAAGAUGACAAGGCAGAUGAGAGAAUUUGAACAUGUGAUGACACAGGGGAGGAAAGUUUCAAAACAAGGCAGAUGUGUGACAUCACAGUGGGGAGCUUCAAAACCCAGAAAACUUGUUCAAACUCAAAGAAAGAGAAAGCCAAGUGUGUGAACGACUGUCAGGAAAAUAGAGUUUCAAAUUUUAGUGGGGUUUCAGACUUAGGUGAACUACCAAUAAAAUAGUAACAGGAUAAGUCACAUGAUGGGACGAUGUGAUACCAUGUUGAAGUUAUAGGAUUCUAUGUUGUAGAAUUCUUCACAAGGGAAGAGAGAGAAUGAAGUCUUAGAACUAUGACUAUGGUAUGAUAUUAUUGAUGACUAUGAUUUCAUACAAAAAGAUUAAACACUAACCCUUACACUAAUACAAGACUCCAAAUCCAAUUAAAUAGGGAAACAAAUCAUGAUAAAAACAAGAAAUACUAAAAGUAAUUUGUGUAGAUGGUCAAAGAUACCCUAAGAUUAAACUGACCGUGUACAAGAUAAUCAAUAUAAUAUAUCAAGAUGUUAUCAGAUAUUUUCACAUCUUAUAAGAUAUGAAUAUUUUCGUAUCUUAUAACACAAAAAUACUUUAUUGUACUAGAGAAAUAGUUAAGUCCUGCUUUAAGGAUAAUUGUGUAACUAGGAGACUAAUAGUGUUCCAACUUCCAAGACAAUGAGAACAAAACAUCCAAAUACAAUGACAUUACAUACGGUAGACUAUUAUAUUAUUUUUUUUGAACAGGCUAGACUAUUAUAUUAUUAUUAUUGAAUGACCAUGUAUACAUUCUAAGUAGGUGCAAAAGAAAAGAAAAAAAAAGUCUGAAUCACCACAUAUGUGAAUUCUUGUAUGCAGCAGGUUUCUAACACAAACUAUUGAUCUGCGGAUUAAGGAAUACAUAAUCCAGUAUAAUAUAUGAAGCCCGUUGAUACACACAGUUGAGUCCUAUGACUGCAAACAGUAUUAUAGGAUUACAAUAUACGACACCACAUUUGUUAUUAUUAUAACAGGAGCCCUUUCCAUUUUUAUGCAAUGCAUCAAUGGAUUGAAAUUGAAUUAUUUAAUGCUACUAAACUUGAUGGUAAAUUAUAUUUAAAGAGCUCCGUUUCAUUUUUAUGCAAUGCAUCAAUGGAUUGAAUUAGUUAAUGGUACUAGACUAGAUGGUAAAAUAAAUUUAAAAAUAGCUCCAACUUCAAGUAACAGUAUAUCUAUAGCAAGUGCUAGACGACUGAAAGAAAAACAAAUUAACAUUUAUGAACAGGAGAAAAUUGUUGAAAAUGAAUAUUUUUCGGCAUUUUAUAUCCCUUAAUUUAGUUGAUAUUUAAAUUGGAAAUAAAUUUUAUCAAAACAUUUGAGGUAAAUGGGUGAUAAGGACAGUAAAUUGAAGAAACAUAGAUAACCCAGUGAAAUAUGUGAGCUCUUCACAAGCAGAAUUGGCUCCAAUAAUUCUAAUGUACUCACAUAACAUGACAAAAUAAAGACAUAAAUGAAAGCAAGGGAAACUUCGAGUAGAAAAUUAAAAAAUGGAUACAGAGAAAUGUAGGACAAUGCUAUGUAAUAGAGGCUAUGAGGGGAAAAAUCAUUCACAUCCAUUUAAGGGUUGAUGAGACAGCAGGAAAUUCACAUGUAUCAUUCCAGUGGAUUACAUAUCAGAACAGGUAACUUGCCCCUUUAGAUUGAGGUUUGUGUGAUAUUUGUGACUAGAAAUCAACCUAGAGAAGGCUAUUAUUCCAGUUCUAAGUUAGAAUAUAAGUUAAUAACUAGAUCAAUUUUUUACAGAUUAUUAGCAUUCCUGAAGGGCACCAAUUAAAACAUAAAUUUCCUGAAACUUGUUUGAAGGAUCAUUUUGUUGUGCAAGAAACGAUAAACCAAAGAGGCUCAAAAUGCAAUAAAGCCAUCUAAUCAAUCUUUGAAAACACUCUACUCAUCCCACCCCAUUCUAUAAUAUACACUUAUACCUUUGAAUUGCGAGCAUAUAUAUUUUUUCUAUGGAAAAUAAAACCAAUGUCAGAAGUUUGUAAUUAACAUUAGAUCCCUCUAUUGCAUCAGAAAGUGAAUGUAGAUGCUUACAUCAUUGACGUGCAGUUUCUUUUUGCAUUAAAGAAAACUAAAAUGUAACAAUUUCUCUAACCCAAGCAUAUAAUAAAAUUAUAAUAUUUCAAGUUUUAACUUACUUUAGCAACAUAAUUGAAACAAUAAUCUAAUUAAAACAAUACCAUAAUAAGUAAAAACCUAUCUUACCAAGGAAGUUCUUUGUAGUCUCAGAAAACUUGGCUUUGCUGGCAAUAUCCUCGAUGGUUUUUAAUCUGACAUCCUUUUUUACAGAUAUGUCCUUAAUGAACUGUGAAGUUAUCUUGCUACCCUUUACCAUUUCAACGAACUGAAGAAGCUCUGAAUCAACCUUCUCAACUGCAUUAGCUUUCACUGCUGCAAUAUACAAAGCAGAAGCAUAGUUUCCUGAACCUCCAAACAUAGCGAUAGGGACCUAAAACAACAAUUAAAAAACAAGACCGAUAAAAAUCAAUCCAAUAAAAAGAACUAUAUGGUAAAACAAAAUUAACAAACAUAAAUUAAAAAAUCAAUAAACAACUACUGAGCCAGGAGGAAAAAAUAUAAUGAUUACCUUAAUCUUGGCUUCCCUUGCCCCUGGUACAUCAGCAUAAUUUCUGGUGGCCUGCAUAAGAUGAAAAUGAAACACAUUAUUACCAUGAAACAAUUGCAUCCAACAACAUAAAAAGCUGAAAUAUGACACAGACAACUAGAUACAUACAGUGUGCAAGAAUCACUCUUGAAAGCUCAAAACAGUUGACAUAAUUAUACUAUGAGAAUGCAAGUUCAUACACUUCAAUCUCAUGUCCAAGUGCAACAACAACAAUAACAAAACACUACAACUGGUAGAAAACAUAUUUCUAUCGUAAACAAAUGACCAAGUUAAAAAGGGCCAUUUCACACACAACCACUCGUAAAAAUGGAGGCAAAAAAAAUAAUAAUAUAUCGGCAGAGAAAACAUUUUCCAACAAAAAUGGAUCACCAAUUUAAUCCUUCCUAUGCAUAAAAGGGGUCAUUUCACAAACAACCAUACAUAAAAAUCGGUAAUAAGAAAUUUAAUUUUUCCAGAAAAUACAAGUUCUAAAUAUAAGCCAUUUGAUCAAUGUUAAAAAAAAUGUAAAUUUUGAAAACUAAAAUAUAUAAUAUCAAGUAGAAAAAAUUUCCCAGAAAAAAUGGAUCCCCAAUUUAAUACAUUAGGUCAUUUCUCAAACAACCACUCAUAAAAAUCAAAAUCAAAUUCUAAAUCUGACCCAUUUGAUCAAUAGGUAAAAAAAUUGCAAAUUUCAAAGCUUAAACGAUCUACGAGUAUAAUAAACAUUGAUUUAAUAAUUUGAAUCAAAAAUCAAAUGAUAAUCGAUAGCGUUGAAUAAGAGAUUGAAAUUGAGAUUGACCUGAGAAAUGGCAGGGGCAAUGAGAGAGCGUUGAAGAGUGGAUCUCUGAGAAGAAAGAAGCCCCAAUUUGUUGCAGAGAGAGAUCCCUGAUUUGACUCGGCCGUACAGUGCCAUCACAGCGAUUUGAAACCCUAAUUUUCUGUUUUGUGAAG
Molecule: long non-coding RNA, 5805 nt
Filed under: Medicago truncatula (barrel medic)
Lineage: Eukaryota; Viridiplantae; Streptophyta; Magnoliopsida; Fabales; Fabaceae
Description: lncRNA gene14157
Source: RNAcentral